Molecule: ribosomal RNA, 2314 nt
Filed under: Meteterakis ishikawanae
Lineage: Eukaryota; Metazoa; Nematoda; Chromadorea; Rhabditida; Heterakidae
Description: eukaryotic LSU rRNA
Rfam family: Eukaryotic large subunit ribosomal RNA (bases 1306-2314)
Source: RNAcentral
GAGCAAUAACAGGUCUGUGAUGCCCUUAGAUGUCCAGGGCUGCACGCGCGCUACACUGGAGGAAUCAGCGUGCUUUAACCAUCUCCGAAAGGAGCUGGUAACCCCUUGAAAAUCCUCCGUGAUCGGGAUCGGGGAUUGCAAUUAUUCCCCUUGAACGAGGAAUUCCUAGUAAGUGUGAGUCAUCAGCUCACGUUGAUUACGUCCCUGCCCUUUGUACACACCGCCCGUCGCUGCCCGGGACUGAGCCGUUUCGAGAAAAGCGGGGACUGCUGUUUCGAUGCCUUUCGGGGUGGAGAUUCUUUGGUGGGAACCGCCUUUAUCGCAGUGGCUUGAACCGGGCAAAAGUCGUAACAAGGUUUCCGUAGGUGAACCUGCGGAAGGAUCAUUAUCGAGCUUCUAAAAAGCCUCAUACUGUGCAUAAGAACCAUUUGCACACAAUUGAGCCGCGUAGUGUAUUGCACUUGAAAGUCGCUUGCUGAAUUCCUUGGCUUGCAAUGGCUAGCAAUGCACGUUUUCGCGAUUGUGUCCUUGGGUGGUAUGUUCGGCAAGUUGUGGCAUACCGCUUGCGCCCAAGAACGCGGAAUCUGUAUCAACGGUGUCAAAGUUGGCGUCUAAUCCCCGUUGAGCUACCGCCCGACCGUCGGUAGCAGUGAAGAACGGGGAGGACAGUUCCUUGUGAAGCUUUCAAGCUUCACACGUUGAGCAGACUUAAUAAGCGUCCAGCAAGUGCGCUGCCAACAAUUUUUUUUUCAAUACAAUGUGUGCUAUUAAAAGUCAAGCAGAUGCUUAAUGAAUAUGUGUAAUCUGCUGCAAAAUUUAGAUAUAUCACUCUUAGCGGUGGAUCACUCGGCUCGUGGGUCGAUGAAGAACGCAGCUAGCUGCGAUAACUAGUGCGAAUUGCAGACACAUUGAGCACUAAGAUUUCGAACGCACAUUGCGCCAUCGGGUUCAUUCCCGAUGGCACGUCUGGCUGAGGGUCGAAUUUGAACUACCUGACGGUGUCUUUUCCUUCUGAAAUGGAUUCCGUGCACCAAAAGUGCCGACGUUGGACUACUUGAUGGUUUCUGUAUGACUCUAGUCAUUCGGAUCGGUGAGCAUCAAGUACUCUGGCUGGUUGCAGUUUUCGAUUGUGCUUCAUACUUCUUCGCAACGUCAUUGCUAGAUGACGAGGAGAAGCACACAAAUUCAUGCACACAAAUUUCAGUGCACUGGCUGACGUGCAGCUCCUAAUGUUUACACAUACUCGCAACCUAGAGUUGUUGUUAGGGGUGUAUGGUUUGUGUGCAAGAAUUGCAUUUUGUAUUUUGACCUCAGCUCAGUCGUGAUUACCCGCUGAAUUUAAGCAUAUAACUAAGCGGAGGAAAAGAAACUAACGAGGACUCCCCUAGUAACUGCGAGUGAACGGGGAAGAGCCCAGCGCUGAAUCCAUUGGCCACUGGCCAUAUGGAAUUGUAGCGUAUAGGUGUGGCUAUUCGAUUGUUUCGUUCACCCAAAGUCCCCUUGAGCGGGGCUACAGUCCAAAGAAGGUGCUAGACCUGUACGGGUGGUGAAGCAGCCGAUGGGUUGCUCCUUGGAGUCGGGUUGCCUGAGAUCGCAGCCCAAAGAGGGUGGUAAACCUCAUCUAAGGCUACAUAUGACCACGAGACCGAUAGCAAACAAGUACCGUGAGGGAAAGUUGCAAAGAACUUUGAAGAGAGAGUUCAAGAGGGCGUGAAACCGCUGAGAAGGAAACGGAUAGAGUUGACGAAAUUCGAUGGCAUUCAGCCAGUUAACUUAGCGGCGUUGCGGUUUCGAGCCUCGAUGAGGGCGAAAACGUGACUAACUGUUGAGUGUUUGCGACUGGUGUAUUUGCCGUCGAUAUGCGCUGAGAAUCUCGCUGCCGUGCGCUAGUACCCGUUGUGCAGAGGACCACACCUUCCGGGUGUGGAACCCUGCAUAGGUUGAGGCGUGUCGGAAGCGAAGCUUGUUGAACUGACUCCGCUAUUGUGCGACGGUUGUCAUGUGGUCAGCGUGGCUAUUGGGCGGUCGCGUGCGACUUGCCUAUAGUUAUCGCUGGUCCGUGAUAAUGCAGUUGCGUUGAGGCUAGUCUCUCGGUGUGAAAGUUGACCACCUAUCCGACCCGUCUUGAAACACGGACCAAGGAGUCUAGCAUAUGCGCGAGUCAUUGGGUGGAAAACCUAAAGGCGUAAUGAAAGUAAAGGUCAUCUCGAUGUGACCGAUAUGGGAUCCGUGUGGCUUCGUGCUUCAUGGCGCACCAUAGCCCCGUCCUCGUUGCUUGCAAUAGGGCGGAGGAAGAGCGCAUACGCUGGGACCC